UGGAGGGGGAUAACUACUGGAAACGGUAGCUAAUACCGCAUAACGUCGCAAGACCAAAGUGGGGGACCUUCGGGCCUCAUGCCAUCAGAUGUGCCCAGAUGGGAUUAGCUGGUAGGUGGGGUAACGGCUCACCUAGGCGACGAUCCCUAGCUGGUCUGAGAGGAUGACCAGCCACACUGGAACUGAGACACGGUCCAGACUCCUACGGGAGGCAGCAGUGGGGAAUAUUGCACAAUGGGCGCAAGCCUGAUGCAGCCAUGCCGCGUGUGUGAAAAAGGCCUUCGGUUUGUAAAGCACUUUCACGCGGGGAGGAAGGCGAUGAGGUUAAAACCCUUGUCGAUUGACUUUACCCGGAAAAAAACCACCGGCUAACUCCGUGCCAGCAGCCGGCGGAAAUACGGAGGGUGCAGGCGUUAACCGGGAAUUACUGGGCGUAAAAG
This 440-nucleotide ribosomal RNA is filed under the name Klebsiella variicola. Its description in RNAcentral is "bacterial SSU rRNA". It matches the Rfam family "Bacterial small subunit ribosomal RNA", at positions 134 to 566 of the family's 1533-position model. Lineage: Bacteria; Pseudomonadati; Pseudomonadota; Gammaproteobacteria; Enterobacterales; Enterobacteriaceae. The record is from RNAcentral.